This 254-nucleotide ribosomal RNA is filed under the name uncultured bacterium. Its description in RNAcentral is "partial 16S ribosomal RNA". It matches the Rfam family "Bacterial small subunit ribosomal RNA", at positions 524 to 777 of the family's 1533-position model. The record is from RNAcentral.
UACGAAGGGGACUAGCGUUGUUCGGAUUUACUGGGCGUAAAGCGCGCGUAGGCGGAUCGCUAAGUCCGUUGUGAAAGCCCUGGGCUCAACCUGGGAACUGCAGUGGAUACUGAGAAGCUAGAGUGUGUCAGAGGAUGGUGGAAUUCCCGGUGUAGCGGUGAAAUGCGUAGAGAUCGGGAGGAACAUCAGUGGCGAAGGCGGCCAUCUGGGACAACACUGACGCUGAGGCACGAAAGCGUGGGGAGCAAACAGGG